This 462-nucleotide non-coding RNA is filed under the name Pan troglodytes (chimpanzee). RNAcentral also lists the same sequence under 1 other name. The record is from RNAcentral. Lineage: Eukaryota; Metazoa; Chordata; Mammalia; Primates; Hominidae.
UGAAAUUGACGUGAGCACAUCCCAGAUUAUCAAGUUUGGGAGCUGCCCCCUCCCCCAGCCUCCAGGAGCUCCCCGCUUGCUCAGGAUUGACAAAUGUGUCUCUUUCUUGGCAGACAACAGUGAGCUGGGACGGAGACAAGCUCCAGUGUGUGCAGAAGGGUGAGAAGGAGGGGCGUGGCUGGACCCAGUGGAUCGAGGGUGAUGAGCUGCACCUGGAGAUGAGAGUGGAAGGUGUGGUCUGCAAGCAAGUAUUCAAGAAGGUGCAGUGAGGCCCAGGCAGACAACCUUGUCCCAAGGAAUCAGCAGGAUGUGUGGGCCAGGAUCCCCCUCUUUGCACAGCAUGAGGCAAAAAUGUCCAGCCACCCCCAGGCAUCUGUUAGCAGAGUCUGUCUCUUGGCUUUGUCACUUUUCCUUUUCUUAAAACAAAGCCAUGCCAAUAAAGUGAUCUGUGUUCAAAACGUC